GGCCUAUCAGCUAGUUGGUGGGGUAACGGCCUACCAAGGCGACGACGGGUAGCCGGCCUGAGAGGGCGACCGGCCACACUGGGACUGAGACACGGCCCAGACUCCUACGGGAGGCAGCAGUGGGGAAUCUUGCGCAAUGGGCGAAAGCCUGACGCAGCGACGCCGCGUGGGGGAUGAAGGCCUUCGGGUUGUAAACCCCUUUCAGCAGGGACGAAGCGAAAGUGACGGUACCUGCAGAAGAAGCGCCGGCUAACUACGUGCCAGCAGCCGCGGUAACACGUAGGGCGCAAGCGUUGUCCGGAAUUAUUGGGCGUAAAGAGCUCGUAGGCGGACUGUCACGUCUGCUGUGAAAAGCUGGGGCUUAACCCUGGCCUUGCAGUGGAUACGGGCAGACUAGAGGUAGGUAGGGGAGAAUGGAAUUCCCGGUGUAGCGGUGAAAUGCGCAGAUAUCGGGAGGAACACCGGUGGCGAAGGCGGUUCUCUGGGCCUUACCUGACGCUGAGGAGCGAAAGCGUGGGGAGCG
This 523-nucleotide ribosomal RNA is filed under the name uncultured bacterium. RNAcentral describes it as "bacterial SSU rRNA". It matches the Rfam family "Bacterial small subunit ribosomal RNA", at positions 235 to 770 of the family's 1533-position model. The record is from RNAcentral.